AGUGAACGCUGGCGGCAGGCCUAAUACAUGCAAGUCGAACGGCAGCACAGUGGAGCUUGCUCCAUGGGUGGCGAGUGGCGGACGGGUGAGGAAUACAUGGGAAUCUGCCCAGUCGUGGGGGAUAACGUAUGGAAACGUACGCUAAUACCGCAUGCGCCCUUCGGGGGAAAGUCGGGGACCGCAAGGCCUGACGCGAUUGGAUGAGCCCAUGUUCGAUUAGCUAGUUGGCGGGGUAACGGCCCACCAAGGCGACGAUCGAUAGCUGGUCUGAGAGGAUGAUCAGCCACACUGGAACUGAGACACGGUCCAGACUCCUACGGGAGGCAGCAGUAGGGAAUAUUGGACAAUGGGGGCAACCCUGAUCCAGCCAUGCCACGUGAGUGAAGAAGGCCCUCGGGUUGUAAAGCUCUUUGUUGGGGAAGAAAAGCAGUUGGUUAAUACCGAUUGUUCUGACGGUACCCAAAGAAUAAGACACCGGCUAACUCGUGCCAGCAGCCGCGGUAA
This 504-nucleotide ribosomal RNA is filed under the name uncultured bacterium. RNAcentral describes it as "bacterial SSU rRNA". It matches the Rfam family "Bacterial small subunit ribosomal RNA", at positions 29 to 523 of the family's 1533-position model. The record is from RNAcentral.